RNAcentral lists this ribosomal RNA (490 nucleotides) under uncultured bacterium. RNAcentral's name for it is "partial 16S ribosomal RNA". It matches the Rfam family "Bacterial small subunit ribosomal RNA", at positions 30 to 507 of the family's 1533-position model. The record is from RNAcentral.
AUUGAACGCUGGCGGCAGGCCUAACACAUGCAAGUCGAACGGUAACAGGAAGAAGCUUGCUUCUUUGCUGACGAGUGGCGGACGGGUGAGUAAUGUCUGGGAAACUGCCUGAUGGAGGGGGAUAACUACUGGAAACGGUAGCUAAUACCGCAUAACGUCGCAAGACCAAAGAGGGGGACCUUCGGGCCUCUUGCCCUCGGAUGUGCCCAGAUGGGAUUAGCUAGUAGGUGGGGUAACGGCUCACCUAGGCGACGAUCCCUAGCUGGUCUGAGAGGAUGAUCAGCCACACUGGAACUGAGACACGGUCCAGACUCCUACGGGAGGCAGCAGUGGGGAAUAUUGCACAAUGGGCGCAGGCCUGAUGCAGCCAUGCCGCGUGUAUGAAGAAGGCCUUCGGGUUGUAAAGUACUUUUAGUGGGGAGGAAGGGAGUAAAGUUAAUACCCUGCCGUAUUGACGGUACCCGAAGAAGAAGCACCGGCUAACUCCGUG